Molecule: long non-coding RNA, 250 nt
Filed under: Rattus norvegicus (Norway rat)
Lineage: Eukaryota; Metazoa; Chordata; Mammalia; Rodentia; Muridae
Description: long non-coding RNA NONRATT031797
Source: RNAcentral
AUGCAUCACAUUUUAAUUACUGAUUAUGAGGGAUGAGCAAUAACUCCUUUUUUUUUUUUGGCACAGUUGUCAGUGUCUCCAGUUCCCAGAGUGAAGAGCAUAUCUAUACUGAAGUGACAGAGGUAAAACCUAAAAUUGGGUGUGUGAGACAUGGCCUUGUUCCCUUGGUGCUGCAGCUGCUUUUCUUCACUCUCUUCUCUGGGGUCCUUGUGACAUUUCUUCUCCAAGGUCAGACAUCCCUGAGUACUUG